Molecule: ribosomal RNA, 254 nt
Filed under: uncultured bacterium
Lineage: Bacteria
Description: partial 16S ribosomal RNA
Rfam family: Bacterial small subunit ribosomal RNA
Source: RNAcentral
UACGGGGGAUGCAAGCGUUAUCCGGAAUUAUUGGGCGUAAAGGGUCCUGAGGUGGCUAGCCAAGUCUAUUGUGAAAUAUCAGGGCUUAACCCUGAACAUGCGGUGGAAACUAGAAAGCUUGAGUACAGUAGGGGCGGAGGGAAUUUCCGGUGGAGCGGUGAAAUGCAUAGAUAUCGGGAAGAACACCAACGGGCGAAAGCACUCCGCUGGGCUGAUACUGACACUGACAGACGAAAGCUAGGGUAGCGAAAGGG